AUUGAACGCUGGCGGCAUGCUUUACACAUGCAAGUCGAACGGUAACAGGUUAAGCUGACGAGUGGCGAACGGGUGAGUAAUGCAUCGGAACGUGCCCGAUCGUGGGGGAUAACACUUCGAAAGAAGUGCUAAUACCGCAUACGAUCUGAGGAUGAAAGCGGGGGACCGUAAGGCCUCGCGCGAUCGGAGCGGCCGAUGUCAGAUUAGGUAGUUGGUGGGGUAAAGGCUAACCAAGCCGACGAUCUGUAGCUGGUCUGAGAGGACGACCAGCCACACUGGGACUGAGACACGGCCCAGACUGCUACGGGAGGCAGCAGUGGGGAAUUUUGGACAAUGGGCGCAAGCCUGAUCCAGCAAUGCCGCGUGCAGGAAGAAGGCCUUCGGGUUGUAAACUGCUUUUGUACGGAGCGAAAAGGCUCCCUCUAAUACAGGGGGCUCAUGACGGUACCGUAAGAAUAAGCACCGGCUAACUACGUGCCAGCAGCCGCGGUAA
RNAcentral lists this ribosomal RNA (493 nucleotides) under uncultured bacterium. Its description in RNAcentral is "partial 16S ribosomal RNA". It matches the Rfam family "Bacterial small subunit ribosomal RNA", at positions 30 to 523 of the family's 1533-position model. The record is from RNAcentral.